GGGCCGACCCUGCGCAACAGGAAGGUGCAAACCCCGCCAGGUCCGGAAGGAAGCAACGGUAAGCAUCUUAUUCUGUGUGCCGCAGAAAGUCGGUCCCUU
RNAcentral lists this signal recognition particle RNA (99 nucleotides) under Thermodesulfovibrio aggregans. RNAcentral describes it as "signal recognition particle sRNA small type". It matches the Rfam family "Bacterial small signal recognition particle RNA". From Rfam's summary of the family: The signal recognition particle (SRP) is a universally conserved ribonucleoprotein involved in the co-translational targeting of proteins to membranes. Archaeal SRP consists of a 7S RNA and homologues of the eukaryotic SRP19 and SRP54 proteins. The record is from RNAcentral. Lineage: Bacteria; Pseudomonadati; Nitrospirota; Thermodesulfovibrionia; Thermodesulfovibrionales; Thermodesulfovibrionaceae.